RNAcentral lists this ribosomal RNA (253 nucleotides) under uncultured bacterium. Its description in RNAcentral is "partial 16S ribosomal RNA". It matches the Rfam family "Bacterial small subunit ribosomal RNA", at positions 524 to 776 of the family's 1533-position model. The record is from RNAcentral.
UACGAAGGGGGCUAGCGUUGCUCGGAAUCACUGGGCGUAAAGGGUGCGUAGGCGGGUCUUUAAGUCAGGGGUGAAAUCCUGGAGCUCAACUCCAGAACUGCCUUUGAUACUGGAAAGCUUGAGUCCGGAAGAGGUGAGUGGAACUCCGAGUGUAGAGGUGAAAUUCGUAGAUAUUCGGAAGAACACCAGUGGCGAAGGCGGCUCACUGGUCCGGUACUGACGCUGAGGUGCGAAAGCGUGGGGAGCAAACGGG